UGUAUGUUGGGUUAGUCCGCACGAGCGCACCCUUAUCCUUAUUUGCCAGCGCGUUAUGGCGGGAACUCUAAGGAGACUGCCGGUGAUAAACCGGAGGAAGGUGGGGACGACGUCAAGCCAUCAUGGCCCUUACGGGAUGGGCUACACACGUGCUACAAUGGCGUAUACAGAGUGCUGCAAUACCGCGAGGUGGAGCGAAUCACACAAAGUACGUCGUAGUCCGGAUCGGAGUCUGCAACUCGACUCCGUGAAGUCGGAAUCGCUAGUAAUCGUAGAUCAGAAUGCUACGGUGAAUACGUUCCCGGGCCUUGUACACACCGCCCGUCACACCAUGGGAGUGGGAUGCAAAAGAAGUGGCUAGUUUAACCUUUCGGGGAGGACGGUCACCACUUUGUGUUUCAUGACUGGGGUGAAGUCGUAACAAGGUAACCCUAGGGGAACCUGGGGUUGGAUCACCUCCUU
RNAcentral lists this ribosomal RNA (462 nucleotides) under uncultured Colwelliaceae bacterium. RNAcentral describes it as "bacterial SSU rRNA". It matches the Rfam family "Bacterial small subunit ribosomal RNA", at positions 1068 to 1532 of the family's 1533-position model. The record is from RNAcentral. Lineage: Bacteria; Pseudomonadati; Pseudomonadota; Gammaproteobacteria; Alteromonadales; Colwelliaceae.